GACGUAGGAUGCAAGCGUUGUCAGGAAUUAUUGGGCGUAAAGCGUUCGUAGGCGGUAAUCCAAGUCUGGUGUUAAAGGCCUGAGCUCAACUCGGGUAUGGCAUCGGAAACUAGAUCACUUGAGUGCGGCAGGGGUAAUGGGAAUUCCCGGUGUAGCGGUGAAAUGCGUAGAUAUCGGGAAGAACACCAGUGGCGAAAGCGCAUUACUGGGCCGUAACUGACGCUAAGGAACGAAAGCCAGGGGAGCGAAAGGG
This 253-nucleotide ribosomal RNA is filed under the name uncultured bacterium. Its description in RNAcentral is "partial 16S ribosomal RNA". It matches the Rfam family "Bacterial small subunit ribosomal RNA", at positions 524 to 776 of the family's 1533-position model. The record is from RNAcentral.